AACGAACGCUGGCGGCAUGCCUAACACAUGCAAGUCGAACGAGACCUUCGGGUCUAGUGGCGCACGGGUGCGUAACGCGUGGGAAUCUGCCCUUGGGUUCGGAAUAACAGCGAGAAAUUGCUGCUAAUACCGGAUGAUGACGUAAGUCCAAAGAUUUAUCGCCCAAGGAUGAGCCCGCGUAGGAUUAGCUAGUUGGUGAGGUAAAGGCUCACCAAGGCGACGAUCCUUAGCUGGUCUGAGAGGAUGAUCAGCCACACUGGGACUGAGACACGGCCCAGACUCCUACGGGAGGCAGCAGUGGGGAAUAUUGGACAAUGGGCGAAAGCCUGAUCCAGCAAUGCCGCGUGAGUGAUGAAGGCCUUAGGGUUGUAAAGCUCUUUUACCCCGGGGAUUGAUAAUGACAGUACCGGGAGAAUAAGCUCCGGCUAACUCCGUGCCAGCAGCCGCGGUAAU
This 453-nucleotide ribosomal RNA is filed under the name uncultured bacterium. RNAcentral's name for it is "bacterial SSU rRNA". It matches the Rfam family "Bacterial small subunit ribosomal RNA", at positions 29 to 524 of the family's 1533-position model. The record is from RNAcentral.